RNAcentral lists this unclassified non-coding RNA (250 nucleotides) under plant metagenome. RNAcentral's name for it is "partial contains small subunit ribosomal RNA, internal transcribed spacer 1, and 5.8S ribosomal RNA". The stretch from base 1 to 53 matches the Rfam family "Eukaryotic small subunit ribosomal RNA", at positions 1778 to 1831 of the family's 1831-position model. The record is from RNAcentral.
GGAAGUAAAAGUCGUAACAGGUCUCCGUAGGUGAACCUGCGGAGGGAUCAUUACAGAGUUUUUGCCCGCAAGGGUAGAUCUCCCACCCUAUGUUAUUCCUUCUCUGUUGCUUUGGCGGGCCGUCCGGCCUCGGUCAGGCCACCGGCUCCGGCUGGUGCGCGCCCGCCAGAGGACCCCAAACCCUAAAUGUCAGUGUCGUCUGAGUACUAUAUAAUAGUUAAAACUUUCAACAACGGAUCUCUUGGUUCUG